AUUCCUACGGGAGGCAGCAGUGAGGAAUAUUGGUCAAUGGACGAGAGUCUGAACCAGCCAAGUAGCGUGAAGGAUGACGGUCCUAUGGAUUGUAAACCUCUUUUGUCAGGGAGCAAAGGGCGCCACGUGUGGCGUUUUGCGAGUACCUGAAGAAAAAGCAUCGGCUAACUCCGUGCCAGCAGCCGCGGUAAUACGGAGGAUGCGAGCGUUAUCCGGAUUUAUUGGGUUUAAAGGGUGCGCAGGCGGAAUGUCAAGUCAGCGGUAAAAUUUCGGGGCUCAACCCUGUCGUGCCGUUGAAACUGGCG
Molecule: ribosomal RNA, 305 nt
Filed under: uncultured bacterium
Lineage: Bacteria
Description: bacterial SSU rRNA
Rfam family: Bacterial small subunit ribosomal RNA
Source: RNAcentral